CCAGCAGCCGCGGUAAUUCCAGCUCCAAUAGCGUAUACUAAAGUUGUUGCGGUUAAAAAGCUCGUAGUUGGAUCUUGGAAUGUGUUCAAGCGGGUCAGCUUCUGGCUGUGCGCUGCUUGACGUGUUCUUCUAUUUGGUUUUGGUGCGGUGCGCUUAACUGCGUGUCGCUCCCGGCCGAAACGUUUACCUUGAAAAAAUUAGAGUGUUCAAAGCAGACCUGUUUGAGUCUGAAUAUUCGUGCAUGGAAUAAUGAAAUAUGAAUUCGGUUCUAUUUUGUUGGUUUUCGGAACUCGAGUUAAUGAUCAAGAGGGACAGACGGGGGCAUUCGUACUCUGCCGUUAGAGGUGAAAUUCUUGGAUCGGCGGAAGACGCGCAACUGCGAAAGCAUUUGCCAAGAAUGUUUUCUUUAAUCAAGAACGAUAGUCGGAGGUUCGAAGACGAUCAGAUACCGUCCUAGUUUCGACUGUAAACUAUGCCAGCUAACGAUCAGACAGAGUUCUCUACGACUUGUCUGGCAGUUUCCGGGAAACCAAAGCGUUUGGGUUCCGGGGGAAGUAUGGUUGCAAAGCUGAAACUUAAAGGAAUUGACGGAAGGGCACCACCAGGAGUGGAGCCUGCGGCUUAAUUUGACUCGACACGGGGAAACUCACCCGGCCCGGACACAGUGAGGAUUGACAGAUUGAGAGUUCUUUCUUGAUUCUGUGGGUGGUGGUGCAUGGCCGUUCUUAGUUGGUGGAGCGAUUUGUCUGGUUAAUUCCGAUAACGAACGAGACUCUGGCAUGUUAAAUAGUCGCGGAAGUGCGUAUGCACUUGCCGAAUUGACUUCUUAGAGGGACUAGUGAUUUUAAUUCACACGAGAUUGAGCAAUACACAGGUCUGUGAUG
This 884-nucleotide ribosomal RNA is filed under the name uncultured eukaryote. RNAcentral describes it as "SSU rRNA". It matches the Rfam family "Eukaryotic small subunit ribosomal RNA", at positions 567 to 1469 of the family's 1831-position model. The record is from RNAcentral.